GACGAACGCUGGCGGUGUGCUUAACACAUGCGAGUCGAACGGUAAGGCCCUUUCGGGGGUACACGAGUGGCGAACGGGUGAGUAACACGUGAGUAACCUGCCCUCAUCUCUGGGAUAACAGUCGGAAACGGUUGCUAAUACUGGAUAUGAGCCUGCAAGGCAUCUUGUGGGUUGGAAAGAUUUUUUGGUUGGGGAUGGACUCGCGGCCUAUCAGCUUGUUGGUGAGGUAGUGGCUCACCAAGGCUUCGACGGGUAGCCGGCCUGAGAGGGCGACCGGCCACAUUGGGACUGAGAUACGGCCCAAACUCCUACGGGAGGCAGCAGUGGGGAAUAUUGCACAAUGGACGGAAGUCUGAUGCAGCAACGCCGCGUGCGGGAUGACGGCCUUCGGGUUGUAAACCGCUUUCAAUUGUGACGAAGCUUUUUGUGACGGUAGCAGUAGAAGAAGCACCGGCUAACUACGUG
RNAcentral lists this ribosomal RNA (465 nucleotides) under uncultured bacterium. RNAcentral's name for it is "partial 16S ribosomal RNA". It matches the Rfam family "Bacterial small subunit ribosomal RNA", at positions 28 to 507 of the family's 1533-position model. The record is from RNAcentral.